AUACGUAGGGAGCGAGCGUUGUCCGGAAUUACUGGGCGUAAAGGGCGCGAAGGCUGCGAUUCAAGUCAACUGUCAAAUUCCGGGGCUUCACCCCGGCCUGCAGUUGAAACUGAAUUGCUCGAGGCGCAGAGAGGCAGACAGAAUUCCUGGUGUAGCGGUGAAAUGCGUAGAUAUCAGGAAGAAUACCAGUGGCGAAGGCGGUCUGCUGGCUGCGAACUGACGCUCAAGCGCGAAAGCCAGGGGAGCAAACGGGAUUAGAUACCCCGGUAGUCCUGGCAGUAAACGAUGUAUGCUGGGUGUGAGAUCAGCGAUGAUUUCGUGCCGAAGUUAACGCGAUAAGCAUACCGCCUGGGGAGUACGGUCGCAAGAUUGAAACUCAAAUGAAUUGACGGGG
RNAcentral lists this ribosomal RNA (394 nucleotides) under uncultured bacterium. RNAcentral describes it as "partial 16S ribosomal RNA". It matches the Rfam family "Bacterial small subunit ribosomal RNA", at positions 523 to 918 of the family's 1533-position model. The record is from RNAcentral.